UGGUCAAGCUGAUAAGAGCGCAGGUGGAUGCCUUGGCACUAAGAGCCGAUGAAAGACGUGAUAAGCUGCGAAAAGCUCGGGGAGGAGCAAAUAUCCUUUGAUCCGGAGAUAUCUGAAUGGGGAAACCCGGCUGAGUAACCCUCAGUCACCAUAACGUAAAUACAUAGCGUUAUGGAGGGAACCCG
This 185-nucleotide ribosomal RNA is filed under the name Clostridium sp. OM04-12AA. RNAcentral describes it as "partial 23S ribosomal RNA". It matches the Rfam family "Bacterial large subunit ribosomal RNA", at positions 1 to 187 of the family's 2925-position model. The record is from RNAcentral. Lineage: Bacteria; Bacillati; Bacillota; Clostridia; Eubacteriales; Clostridiaceae.